RNAcentral lists this ribosomal RNA (492 nucleotides) under uncultured bacterium. RNAcentral describes it as "partial 16S ribosomal RNA". It matches the Rfam family "Bacterial small subunit ribosomal RNA", at positions 29 to 507 of the family's 1533-position model. The record is from RNAcentral.
AGUGAACGCUGGCGGUAGGCCUAACACAUGCAAGUCGAACGGCAGCACAGUAAGAGCUUGCUCUUACGGGUGGCGAGUGGCGGACGGGUGAGGAAUACAUCGGAAUCUACUUUUUCGUGGGGGAUAACGUAGGGAAACUUACGCUAAUACCGCAUACGACCUACGGGUGAAAGCAGGGGAUCUUCGGACCUUGCGCGAUUGAAUGAGCCGAUGUCGGAUUCGCUAGUUGGCGGGGUAAAGGCCCACCAAGGCGACGAUCCGUAGCUGGUCUGAGAGGAUGAACAGCCACACUGGAACUGAGACACGGCCCAGACUCUGACGGUAGGCAGCAGUGGGGAAUAUUGGACAAUGGGGGCAAGCCUGAUCCAGCCAUACCGCGUGGGUGAAGAAGGCCUUCGGGUUGUAAAGCCAUUUUGUUGGGAAAGAAAAGCAGCAGGUUAAUACCCCGCUGUUCUGACGGUACCCAAAGAAUAAGCACCGGCUAACUUCGUG